Molecule: ribosomal RNA, 119 nt
Organism: Sorghum bicolor (sorghum)
Lineage: Eukaryota; Viridiplantae; Streptophyta; Magnoliopsida; Poales; Poaceae
Source: Rfam
GGAUGCGAUCAUACCAGCACUAAAGCACCGGAUCCCAUCAGAACUCCGAAGUUAAGCGUGCUUGGGCGAGAGUAGUACUAGGAUGGGUGACCUCCUGGGAAGUCCUCGUGUUGCAUUGC